Molecule: ribosomal RNA, 129 nt
Filed under: Chitinophagaceae bacterium
Lineage: Bacteria; Pseudomonadati; Bacteroidota; Chitinophagia; Chitinophagales; Chitinophagaceae
Description: partial 23S ribosomal RNA
Rfam family: Bacterial large subunit ribosomal RNA
Source: RNAcentral
AGCGUGAAACCUUCCACAAGAUGAAUUUACUUUUAAGGGUCGUCAAAGACUAUGACGUUGAUAGGCUAUAGAUGUAAAGCUAGUAAUAGCAAAGUCGAGUAGUACUAAUUGCCCGUAAGCUUUAUUUUU